Molecule: ribosomal RNA, 484 nt
Filed under: uncultured bacterium
Lineage: Bacteria
Description: bacterial SSU rRNA
Rfam family: Bacterial small subunit ribosomal RNA
Source: RNAcentral
AUUGAACGCUGGCGGCAUGCCUUACACAUGCAAGUCGAACGGCAGCACGGGAGCAAUCCUGGUGGCGAGUGGCGAACGGGUGAGUAAUAUAUCGGAACGUGCCCAGUCGUGGGGGAUAACGUAGCGAAAGCUACGCUAAUACCGCAUACGAUCUACGGAUGAAAGCGGGGGAUCGCAAGACCUCGCGCGAUUGGAGCGGCCGAUAUCAGAUUAGCUAGUUGGUGGGGUAAAAGCUCACCAAGGCGACGAUCUGUAGCUGGUCUGAGAGGACGACCAGCCACACUGGAACUGAGACACGGUCCAGACUCCUACGGGAGGCAGCAGUGGGGAAUUUUGGACAAUGGGCGCAAGCCUGAUCCAGCAAUGCCGCGUGCAGGAUGAAGGCCUUCGGUUGUAACUGCUUUGUUACGGAACGAAACGGUGAGCUCUAAUAAAGCUUGCUAAUGACGGUACCGUAAGAAUAAGCACCGGCUAACUACGUGCC